This 72-nucleotide transfer RNA is filed under the name Candidatus Nealsoniibacteriota bacterium. RNAcentral describes it as "Candidatus Nealsonbacteria bacterium tRNA-Arg". It matches the Rfam family "tRNA". From Rfam's summary of the family: Transfer RNA (tRNA) molecules are approximately 80 nucleotides in length. Their secondary structure includes four short double-helical elements and three loops (D, anti-codon, and T loops). Further hydrogen bonds mediate the characteristic L-shaped molecular structure. tRNAs have two regions of fundamental functional importance: the anti-codon, which is responsible for specific mRNA codon recognition, and the 3' end, to which the tRNAs corresponding amino acid is attached (by aminoacyl-tRNA synthetases). tRNAs cope with the degeneracy of the genetic code in two manners: having more than one tRNA (with a specific anti-codon) for a particular amino acid; and 'wobble' base-pairing, i.e. permitting non-standard base-pairing at the 3rd anti-codon position. Lineage: Bacteria; Candidatus Nealsoniibacteriota. The record is from RNAcentral.
GCCCCUGUAGCUCAACGGAUAGAGCAUCACAUUCCUAACGUGAAGAUCCAGGUCCGACUCCUGGUAGGGGCA